Molecule: ribosomal RNA, 263 nt
Filed under: uncultured bacterium
Lineage: Bacteria
Description: partial 16S ribosomal RNA
Rfam family: Bacterial small subunit ribosomal RNA
Source: RNAcentral
GAUCCUACGGGACGCAGCAGUAGGGAAUCUUCCACAAUGGACGAAAGUCUGAUGGAGCAACGCCGCGUGAGUGAAGACGGGUUUCGGCUCGUAAAUCUCUGUUGGUAGUGAAGAAAGAUAGAGGUAGUAACUGGCCUUUAUUUGACGGUAAUUACUUAGAAAGUCACGGCUAACUACGUGCCAGCAACCGCGGUAAUACGUAGGUGGCAAGCGUUUUCCGGAUUUUUUGGGCGGAAAGCGAGUGCAGGCGGGUCAAUAAGGUU